Molecule: transfer RNA, 69 nt
Filed under: Bigelowiella longifila
Lineage: Eukaryota; Cercozoa; Chlorarachniophyceae
Rfam family: tRNA
About the family: Transfer RNA (tRNA) molecules are approximately 80 nucleotides in length. Their secondary structure includes four short double-helical elements and three loops (D, anti-codon, and T loops).
Source: RNAcentral
GGAACGUAGUUUAAUGGAUAGAAUAUCGGUCUUCGAAACCGCGGGUGUGGGUUCGAUUCCCGCCGUUCU